Equus caballus (horse) is the source of this 2457-nucleotide long non-coding RNA. The record is from Ensembl. Lineage: Eukaryota; Metazoa; Chordata; Mammalia; Perissodactyla; Equidae.
CCCAGGCCCCUCUCCCAUUCCUUAGCUCAGGAUGGCAUCCAAGCCUCAGGUGCCCAGCUUGUCCUUGGGUCUCAUUGCCUUUGUGGGGCCCCCUGUACAUAAGUAAUUAAAUUUGUUUUCCUCCUGUUAAUCUGUUUUAUGUUAAUUCGAUUAUUAGACCAGCCAAAGAACAUAGAAGGGUAGAAGGAAAAAUUUUUCCUUCCCUACAGCUGGCGUAGCUGGCAGGAUAAACUUCACUAGCUGGGCACUGCUCACUCUGAGGCUGCUGCAGCUGAGAGAUCCUGGGACCUCUGACAAGUGCUGGCAGAAGGUAAGAAUCCUUACCAUGUCAGUUUCCUGGAUCUCUACCUGCCAAGUCUGGUAGAAAUGAGAAUGGUGAGAGACCUUUCUUUUUCUAAAUUUAGAUUAGCAGGAGAAAAUAUUUGUGGGCUAGUUCCUUGGGCAUAGUGACUCUGGUAAAGAUUUGGUAAUGAGUGCUCCUGUUUUCUAUCGAUACUUUUUCCUCCCAGAGAUGGCCAUUGUUUUCUUUUGUCUACUUUAUGAUCAGUGAGAAUAUUCUCUCUGGUCUCUGCCAGCUGGAGGAUGCAUACGCAUCUGGUGGGCAGCUGAAUAGACUGUGGAUCUGAGUUUAGGGAAUCUGAAAAAAAAGUGAACUUUUGGCUUGGACACAAUUGGAAGCAUUGGUUAUAUUACUAAAGCUUUGACUGGAACGUCAUAUUUGAGAGAGACAUGCAUAGACUCAGAUAUGACCAGGAAGCUUUAAGGAACUAAGUUUGACUUUCUGGAGCCAAUAAAGCCCCUUGGAAAAAUCAGCCUGGUACUUUGCUUACAAGGUUCCCAGUAAUCUUGACAGGUGAGUAAUGAAGGUCACUUCCUGGCAGGCACAGGAACAUCAAGAUAUUUUGGUGACCUUGGGAAGUCACCCAAAUCUAUAAGUAUUGCAGACAAAGUCUGAUGGUGAGACCUUGGCUUUGCAUCUUAACCUCAAGAGGUUUUUAAAAAGUCCAAUCUGAGAUUCCUUAUGAAAAAUUCCAGCAGAGCAGAUUAUAAGAUUCUAUAUGGUCAAUCAUUAUUCUUGCUGCAUUUAUGUAAAUAAUCAGGGCAAUCUUAUUGAAACUAGACUUAAUUUGCAAACAAAUUAGUCUUACUAUGGUUAUCUUUGAUAGAAUUGGGAUGAUUGUAGAGAGAAAAAUUAUGUUUCAAUAAUAUAUCUUUGUGGAAAUUGGAUUCUAAUACUGUUAAUUGUCUUUGGGGUUUUGUUAUAUACCUGUAAACUGGACUAGAUCCUGUAUUCUUCUAGUUUCCUCAAAUAUCUCGCUAUGAUUCUCUAAACUAAUGUUUCUAAUUUUUCUCCUUCUGACUUGGAAUCAUUGAAAACUAAAACUACCCUUUUUUCUGGAGCCAUGCAAGCUAAUGUUGGACAACUUGAUAUAAACUUUAGAGAAAUCACCACAACAGCUCAUGUAUGGACAAUCUUCAUGUCUGUUGCUGUGUGACCACUCAGAAAGAACACCAGAGAUUUUCAAACUGCAAACCAGGAAAAUCUAUCAGAUUGUCACUGCCUGUCCUCACUCCAUCUAAAGAUACUUCAAGCCAGAUAUCUAGAAAUCUUCUCAACUGGCUGCCUUCAGAACUCAGAAACUGGGAUUAUAAUAUGCUUCAAUUAUUAACUUUUGUUUUUCUUUCAUUUCCAUAGAAAUGCCUCUUAUUAAAUACUUGAUUGCUUGCAGCAUAAGCCUAACUUUGGAAGCCCACCUGCAUUAUUGCCUCCUGAAAUGAGACACAACUGUUUAACUGAACUGACUUAUUUUCAGGACUAAGAGACUUGUUCAGUGAGAUGGAGCCAUCUACCAACUCAACUUCUAGACUGUGAAACUUCUUGAGGAAGUUUCAAAGAAGGAAAAACCGCAGCCAAAAUGUGCAACUGGGACCUAAUUCCUUAGCAGCAGAGCAGGAGGGUGUUUUGCUGUGUCAGUGGCAAUUUUCCCUGCUGCUUCGUUUGGAACUGCCAGACUUCAUCAGAACAAGUGGCAUCAGAUGCCUUUAGAUGCGGUCCAAUUCACCGGGGUGAAUAAAACAGGCGACUUCUCAUACAGACUUCCUUACCAUUUGUUGUGCUGCUGUGGGUUUGUACCCUACAAACAGGGAAUUCUGAUGCUCCAGGCGAGUGGCACUCCAUGGCUUCAGGCAGGCGGGCAGUCGGAAGAAGCCAGAGCACACGAGGAGUUGAGGCCUGCGCCAUGUCAGGGGCUCGAGCAGGUGGACGAGAGGACACAGUUUCAGGCAAGUGCUGUGGUAAGGAAGAAGCCAGCGGAGAGACUGGCUCACGAUUCCCCUCUUUGAGGUUUCCGCCUCCCAUGGCCGUGGCUGAUUGAUCCAUGGAAAGAUGCCUGACCCAGGCUGGACCAAUCAGAAUCCUUCCCCAGGAUUUUCGAACUGGAGCUAAGGGGAGCCACG